This 251-nucleotide ribosomal RNA is filed under the name uncultured bacterium. RNAcentral describes it as "partial 16S ribosomal RNA". It matches the Rfam family "Bacterial small subunit ribosomal RNA", at positions 524 to 775 of the family's 1533-position model. The record is from RNAcentral.
UACGUAGGGAGCAAGCGUUGUCCGGAAUUACUGGGUGUAAAGGGAGCGUAGGCGGGGAUGCAAGUUGGGUGUCAAAACUACCGGUUCAACCGAUAGUCGCACUCAAAACUGCAGCUCUUGAGUGAAGUAGAGGCAGGCGGAAUUCCUAGUGUAGCGGUGAAAUGCGUAGAUAUUAGGAGGAACACCAGUGGCGAAGGCGGCCUGCUGGGCUUUUACUGACGCUGAGGCUCGAAAGUGUGGGGAGCAAACAG